GUUUUGGUCAAUAUUCGAUUAAGUCACUAAUGGAAAAACCUGUCUUCAAUAUCUGACUUUUCAUCAUUGAAGAGAUCUCAAGUCAAUCAAACAUCAUUAGAACUUGCCUGUAACUCAAACACCUGUCCACGCCUUUCAACUCCAGAGAAGAUAUAUCUAAACUUUCUGAACACACACAGUGCUCCUCCUUUCAGAUGCCCUGCUUCUCUCAAAAUGGAUACUGACCAGCAUCUUCAGAUAAUUCCUCCACACAGGUCUCUCCCAUAAAUUCUCAUUGCAGUUUAGUGGGAAGCAACAUAUGGCAGAACACACUUUAUAAUUUCGCAGCAUGCCCUUCCUGCAAGGUUUUAUAUAACACUUCAGACUUUGGUAAGUGUUAUUUUUUAAGCUAUUUUAUAAAUUAUUUCUACAUAUUUAAGGGGUGAAAUUGGAAUUUUGUUACCUGGAUAUAUUGCGUAGUGUUGAAAUAUGGACUUGUAGUGUAACCAUCACCUAAAUAAUGAGGUAAGUAUUCAUAACAAAUGUUUUAUUCUCUUCUUUUGAGUCCUUAGCUGAAACUGAGACAGAGAGAAACUAAUUUUACUAUUAUAAUAUUUUGUUACAUUUGUCAAAAGUUUCAAUCUGAUCUUGUCUUCUGUAUAUCUAGUGGGAUCUUUCAUAUGAGUUUUUGGUUAACUAAGAGGUACUCGUCUUGUUUUUCUGCACAGAUGUGGUUUAUAAAGUAUCUCAUUAGAUCAAUCAUUUCCAGGGAUCUAGAGAAGUAGAAAGCUGGAAGCAUGGACUCAGUCCAUAAUCUUAAAAUGGAAGUUCUUCAGUGGCUUUAUUGCUCAUAAGCUAUGGUAAUUUUCCUACAAGAUACCUAAUAUUUUAUUUUGACAAACCAUAUCUUAAAACACUUAAGUAUAUAAAUGAAUUCCUUCCAUUAAACACAUGGUACUAUUUAAGAUUUCCUACUAUGUGCCAGGUACUCUUUUAGUGUUCUGAUGCUUAAAAAAUGACAAAGUAUCACAGGUAGACAGACACCUAUAUAGAUAGAUAGAACACUGACACACAAAUAUACAUCCUAAAUUAUUGCAAUAAAGGAGAAUUGACAAAGUACUAUGCAAUCAUAACACACGGAAUACCAAAUGGUACAUACAUGUGUUUGCAAGUGAGCAGUAGAAGGGAAAUCUUAAACACAGGAACUUCCCUAGACAUUAGUUGUCACCUCUUGACCCUUGAUCUUGCAUCAAGUGUUCAUUGAGAGCAUUUUACUUCUAGUUGAAUGAGAAUUCCAGAAGCACCGCCAAGUUUAUAAAGAAGUCAUAACUUGGAGUUGUCAGAGUUAGGG
RNAcentral lists this long non-coding RNA (1330 nucleotides) under Macaca mulatta (Rhesus monkey). Its description in RNAcentral is "lncRNA (ENSMMUG00000057234.1)". Lineage: Eukaryota; Metazoa; Chordata; Mammalia; Primates; Cercopithecidae. The record is from RNAcentral.